RNAcentral lists this ribosomal RNA (497 nucleotides) under uncultured bacterium. RNAcentral's name for it is "partial 16S ribosomal RNA". It matches the Rfam family "Bacterial small subunit ribosomal RNA", at positions 28 to 507 of the family's 1533-position model. The record is from RNAcentral.
GAUGAACGCUGGCGGCGUGCCUAAUACAUGCAAGUCGAGCGAACGGACGAGAAGCUUGCUUCUCUGGUGUUAGCGGCGGACGGGUGAGUAACACGUGGAUAACCUACCUAUAAGACUGGGAUAACUUCGGGAAACCGGAGCUAAUACCGGAUAAUAUUUUGAACCGCAUGGUUCAAAAGUGAAAGACGGUCUUGCUGUCACUUAUAGAUGGAUCCGCGCUGCAUUAGCUAGUUGGUAAGGUAACGGCUUACCAAGGCAACGAUGCAUAGCCGACCUGAGAGGGUGAUCGGCCACACUGGAACUGAGACACGGCCCAGACUCCUACGGGAGGCAGCAGUAGGGAAUCUUCCGCAAUGGGCGGAAGCCUGACGGAGCAACGCCGCGUGAGUGAUGAAGGUCUUCGGAUCGUAAAACUCUGUUAUUAGGGAAGAACAUAUGUGUAAGUAACUGUGCACAUCUUGACGGUACCUAAUCAGAAAGCCACGGCUAACUACGUG